Molecule: ribosomal RNA, 440 nt
Filed under: uncultured bacterium
Lineage: Bacteria
Description: partial 16S ribosomal RNA
Rfam family: Bacterial small subunit ribosomal RNA
Source: RNAcentral
CCUACGGGUGGCAGCAGUGGGGAAUAUUGCACAAUGGGGGGAACCCUGAUGCAGCGACGCCGCGUGGGUGAAGGAGGGCUUCGGCGCGUAAAGCUCUAUCUUCAGGGAAGAAGAUGACGGUACUUGACCAAGAAGCCACGGCCAAACCCGUGCCCGCAGCCGCGGUAAUACGUCGGGGGCAAGCGUUAUCCGGAUUUACUGGGCGGAAAGGGGGCGCAGGCGGGUAUUCAAGGCCGGAGUGAAAGCCCUGGGGCCAACCCGGGGAUUGCUAUUGAAACGGGAUGGCUGGAGUACAGGAGAGGCAGGCGGAAUUCCGGGUGUAGCGGUGAAAUGCGUAGAUAUUAGGAGGAACACCGGUGGCGAAGGCGGCUUGCUGGACUGUGACUGACGCUGAGGCACGAAAGCGUGGGGAGCAAACAGGAUGAGAUACCCCAGUAGUC